CGUAGGGUGCGAGCGUUAAUCGGAAUUACUGGGCGUAAAGCGUGCGCAGGCGGUUUAGUAAGACAGGUGUGAAAUCCCCGGGCUCAACCUGGGAACUGCGCUUGUGACUGCUAAGCUAGAGUACGGCAGAGGGGGUGGAAUUCCACGUGUAGCAGUGAAAUGCGUAGAGAUGUGGAGGAACACCAAUGGCGAAGGCAGCCCCCUGGGUCGAUACUGACGCUCAUGCACGAAAGCGUGGGUAGCAAACAGGAUUAGAUACCCUGGUAGUCCACGCCCUAAACGAUGUCAACUAGGUGUUGGGAGGGUAAAACCUUUUAGUACCGGAGCUAACGCGUGAAGUUGACCGCCUGGGGAGUACGGCCGCAAGGUUA
RNAcentral lists this ribosomal RNA (371 nucleotides) under uncultured organism. RNAcentral's name for it is "bacterial SSU rRNA". It matches the Rfam family "Bacterial small subunit ribosomal RNA", at positions 526 to 896 of the family's 1533-position model. The record is from RNAcentral.